AACGAACGCUGGCGGCAGGCCUAACACAUGCAAGUCGAGCGCGCCCUUCGGGGUGAGCGGCGGACGGGUGAGUAACGCGUGGGAACGUGCCCUUCUCUGCGGAAUAGCCUCGGGAAACUGAUAGUAAUACCGCAUACGCCCUUUGGGGGAAAGAUUUAUCGGAGAAGGAUCGGCCCGCGUUGGAUUAGGUAGUUGGUGGGGUAAUGGCCCACCAAGCCGACGAUCCAUAGCUGGUUUGAGAGGAUGAUCAGCCACACUGGGACUGAGACACGGCCCAGCCUCCUACGGGAGGCAGCAGUGGGGAAUCUUAGACAAUGGGGGCAACCCUGAUCUAGCCAUGCCGCGUGAGUGAUGAAGGCCUUAGGGUUGUAAAGCUCUUUCAGCUGGGCAGAUAAUGACGGUACCAGCAGAAGAAGCCCCGGCUAACUCCGUG
RNAcentral lists this ribosomal RNA (433 nucleotides) under uncultured bacterium. Its description in RNAcentral is "partial 16S ribosomal RNA". It matches the Rfam family "Bacterial small subunit ribosomal RNA", at positions 29 to 507 of the family's 1533-position model. The record is from RNAcentral.